Molecule: transfer RNA, 92 nt
Filed under: Rhodocyclaceae bacterium
Lineage: Bacteria; Pseudomonadati; Pseudomonadota; Betaproteobacteria; Rhodocyclales; Rhodocyclaceae
Description: tRNA-OTHER
Rfam family: tRNA
About the family: Transfer RNA (tRNA) molecules are approximately 80 nucleotides in length. Their secondary structure includes four short double-helical elements and three loops (D, anti-codon, and T loops).
Source: RNAcentral
GGAUGGGGUGGCAGAGCGGCUGAACGCACUGGUCUUGGAAAAACCAGCAAGGGGGCAACCCUUCGUGGGUUCGAAUCCCACCCCAUCCGCCA